This 827-nucleotide ribosomal RNA is filed under the name uncultured bacterium. RNAcentral's name for it is "bacterial SSU rRNA". It matches the Rfam family "Bacterial small subunit ribosomal RNA", at positions 51 to 916 of the family's 1533-position model. The record is from RNAcentral.
AUACAUGCAAGUCGAACGGAAGGCGGAUUUAUUCGUCUUUAGUGGCAAACGGGUGAGUAACGCGUGGGAAUCUGCCCUUUGGUGGGGGACAACUAGGGGAAACUCUAGCUAAUACCGCAUAUAAUUGGUAACAAUGAAAGAUUUUAUUGCCAAAGGAUGAGCCCGCGUCAGAUUAGGUAGUUGGUAGGGUAAUGGCCUACCAAGCCUGUGAUCUGUAGCUGAUUUGAGAGAAUGAUCAGCCACACUGGGAUUGAGAUACGGCCCAGACUCCUACGGGAGGCAGCAGUAAGGAAUAUUGGACAAUGGGGGCAACCCUGAUCCAGCAAUGCCGCGUGAAUGAAGAAGGCCUUCGGGUUGUAAAGUUCUUUCGCUUACGAUGAUAAUGACAGUAGUAAGAUAAGAAGGUCCGGCUAACUCUGUGCCAGCAGCCGCGGUGAGACAGAGGGACCUAGCGUUGUUCGGAAUGACUGGGCGUAAAGGGUGCGUAGGUGGUUACUUAAGUAGGGUGUUAAAUCCUUGGGCUCAACCCAAGAAUCGCAUUCUAUACUGGGUGACUGGAGUAUGGGAGAGGAGAUUGGAAUUCCUAGUGUAGAGGUGAAAUUCGUAGAUAUUAGGAGGAACACCAGAGGCGAAGGCGAAUCUCUGGCCCAUUACUGACACUGAGGCACGAAAGCGUGGGGAGCAAACAGGAUUAGAUACCCUGGUAGUCCACGCCCUAAACGAUGAGUGCUAGACGUUGGAAUUUUAUUUUCAGUGUCGCAGCUAACGCGUUAAGCACUCCGCCUGAGGAUUACGGUCGCAAGACUAAAACUUAAAGGAAUUGACGG